CUCCAUUCCUCCUCCAGAAAAUUCAGUCAUUCCCUGAGAGUCUCGGUUUAUCUGAGCUAGUAACAUUGUCUGCCUCGCCGAGAAAUUUUCCAACAAUUCCUCCGUCCGACCACCAUGCACCAGGACAGGAAACGGCCGCCUCAGCGCCCGCCCGCCUCAGCGCCGCCCCGAGCCGCGCGGGCGGGCUCUGCGCCCCGAGCUCCCGCCGCUCCCAUUGGGCGCGCGGCGCCGCGCGGCACCGCCUCCGCUCGCCAUUGGGCGCCUCCAGGCCCCGCGCCGAUGCCCAUUGGCUAGACGCCCGCGGCCCCGCCCCGCGGCUUCAUGGCGGCUCGGCUAUGCUGGGUUCGGGGCCGCCGCGGCCGCCAUUUUGUACCGCGGGGAGCGAGGCGCUCGCGCGUCAGUAGGGGAGCGGGCGCCAUUUCCUGCUCCGGGCAGCGCGCCCGGCGGCGGCGGAGCCCGUCGCGGGUCCCUCGGCCGGGGGCGGAACGGAGCGCGGCGGGCAGGGGGCGGCCGCGGACGGGGUGCCGGGAGCAGGGCCGCCGGCAACGGCCGAGAGGGAACGCGGGCUGCGGCCGGGCCUCGCGGCGACGGGCUCCCACCGCGGGCACGGGCUCCGGGCGGACCCGAGCGCACGGGGCUGGGGGCGGGCAGGGCCGCGCGGCGGGGCCGUGUGUGCCGCGGCGUCUGUGCCGGCCGCCUCCGGGUGCGCUGUGCUCCGCCGCCGCUUCAGCCCGGCUCCUGCGGAGGAAGGCGUUCUAUAAAGCAGCCCUGAAGGAUGCUCGUCCCGGGGUGACUUUAGGAGCGUGGUAAUCCGGCAGCAGCUCCAGAGGCAGCUAAAGCGCGUGGCAGAAAAGCCGUAGGUCGCUGCUGUGCGCUGUGGGCGCGGGCCGGGCGGCGUUGCGGCACCUCGGGGCACCGCCGCUCCGUGCGGCAGCCUGAGAGCGACCGAACGUCCUCGGCUGGGAUCAGAGACUCCGCGUGAGGAAGGAAUAGAAGACACGUUAAGAAAAGCAGGCCAAAAUGGGCCGUGAAGCUUAACGGUGCUUCUCCAGGAGCCGAUAAUUGCAAAAAGGAGGAAAUUUCCUUUAGGAAGAUGCAGCUUAACCCGUGCAAUUUACUACCGGCUCUCAAUCAGUCGGCACAGCUGAAAGCACCUGGGUGUGUGCGCAGUGCUUUGUAAUUACUCCACUGCACAGCCGAGUCUUGUAAAUCCAAGGCUGACACAUCUGACCAUAGCUUCGAUGUCCUGCACCAAAACCUCCGUUCUUUUAAAAUAAUGGUUUAGGAAAAAAUAUGCUAUCAAGCUUACACAACAGGUAAAAAGUACGUCAGAAGCGUUUGAGAGGGGAAACCAAACCUCAGAGCUAAGCAGCAGAACUAACUGCUGUCAGACUGCAGCUGUGUUCCAAACACCGCACCAAAAUGAGCACAGAUGGAGGAUUUGCUCCAGAUGUUUAUCUUCCAUUAUAGAAAAAAAAACAGAGGCUUUAGAUUUCCCAACUCUUCCUGUAGAAUUGCAUUACCCCUGAAAAAUGGAAUGGAUAAGUGCAAGUUGUAGGAGAAUCUGCAUCACCAAAACUGAAAUGGUGCACCACGAAAUGCACCAUCACCACCACCAACGUACAACUGUUCUGCAGUUUAUCUAAGUACAUUUCUUGGAGCAAAGUUGGAGGAUCCAUUCUUAUGAAAGCUGUUCCUUUCUAUUCAGUUAACACAUAAAAGCACCCCUGAAGUAAGGCCAUCCUCACAUCAAGAUAAACUUCCUCCCUUGAUGUAGAAAAAUAGAACUUUCAGAAAUAACAAUGGCGCUAAAUGGGUAAUUUUCCCUCUUUUUCCAUCUGCUUUGUACGUGCAGCCUUCUUGCUGCCGUGUUGCAUUUCCUACCACGAGGCAAAAGUAUCAGCUGGCCUAAAAAUGUUCUCAGACUUUUCCGGAGGGCAGGAAGCAUAACGAGAUAAGCAGAUACCCAACAAGCAGAUGUUCAGAAAUGAUUCAAGUCCAACUGGGCGUUUUUUCAAGGUCAAGGAAGGCACAGGAAGACCCAUUCUGUGAUUAUACAUCACCUUUUCCUACAAGAUAGAACUGUUAAUAGAUGAGGCCAGAGGACACCUGUGGGUGCUCAGGAGUUAUGCAUUUUCUAGUACACAGUACUUGGCCAGUCAGCUUAGGGCUCACUAAGUACUACUGUGGCUCGCAUACCACUAGCCUAACAGCUUGGAUUCAACACUUAGGCUUUUUCCACCUCAGGUGCAAUAUCGAUCAAGUCUGCAAUUUGCUUCAAGUACCCCUUUGGUAUUAUUACAAUAGGGGAAAAGCAACAGCACAGUGCUGCCUCAGCCUCUCACACACCAGCACUCUGCGCAGGGAAAUGUUUUUCACCUAAGAAAGGCUGUCCACAGAGGAGGGAGUGGAUCAGCCCCAUGCACGUGGCUCGCAGCACAGCACGAGCGGUCCUGUAACAAGCAGAAGGCAGAGAACCAUGCCAGGAGAACAGUGCCAGUCAGCUCAGCAAGGGGACCCCACACCGCCAAUUCCAGCUACGCUGCUGAUGCAAAAAAACACACCACACAAACCAAUUUUCUGAAGACUGCAUUUUGAGUAUCAUAAUAUAUAUAUGUGCAUUUCAUUUUUACAGAUAUAAACUCAGUUUAUUUUUAACCUGUAUUUAAAUUUUGGAGGCUUACAUUAAAUUAAGGUAGCUCGUUUAAUAUCAAUUGUAACAGCAGGUGACAUUUUUUAUAUAAAAACAGCCAAAAGAAAAAAAAAACAUUUGAUUUAAAAGACCUGACACCAAUGAUCUCAAGGCAAGAUCAAAAACCUAUGGAUUUAUGCUUUAAGAAAAGAAAGAGGGGGCAUUUGAGCCAACCCGUUCACAGCAUCUCCCUGCUGGCUUCUUCAUACAGUGGUUUCGAUAGUGGUCCCAGAGGGAACUGUAUUUUGCCUCUCUAGCUAAAAUACUAGUUACUAUAGCAACUUUGAAAGAAGAAAAUUGUGGCUUCAAAAAAAUGGAAGAUUGGCAAAACUUCAAAUACACUGUCUGGAUCAGGCAGACAAUCGUACACUAACACUGGGAGUGCACUUGCACUACCACGUUUGGGGGGCAGGGGGGAAAAAAAAGGUUCUGCAAAAUUAAUGGGAAAAAUUGCAUUCAUAGAUCAAAGCCCAGGUUAGCCAAAUUAUUAUUUUUUUUAAUAGAUUGCAUAUAUAGAUGUUUCAUCCACACACUUCAAUCAACUCAUUUAAGAGCAGAACUUCACAUCUAAUUUACAUGCUUCAGAAAAGAUCACUUUCUCAGUGCUUACAAUGAACAUUUGUAUCCAAAUUGUAACUCGUACAGUGAGAUCUUUAAGAAAAACAAAGGACACAGAGGGUGUUGCUAUUUCUUUCUUUUUUAGCAGCAAUGAAAUAUCACUAACCCCUUUUUUACAGAACCGAAUUCAAGUCACAACCAGAGGUGACUGCACCACAAAGUCACCAGGUACAAAACUGCUAGUUCAUUUUAAAUUAAUAACUUGAAAUUAUUUUCCCCAAUACAUCCCUUCUUUUUUAUUUUUAUUUUUUUAUAAACAGCAAACAUUUUGCUAUUUUUGUACAUAGGCUAGCAGGCUUGUUUCAAUAUGAAAGUGCUAAUUCAUUUACAGAUUUAUCAGUUAUGUAGUGCUACAUUAAGUGUCCAAUAUUCUACAUAUGAACAAUCUUGAUAAAUGGAAACGAUGAAGAUUAAGUAAGGCUAUUCGAUUACCUUAUUUACACUGAAAGAAUAGACACCCAAAUAAGGAAGGGAGAAAAGGGAAGUUGGGCAAAUACUCAUACCGCCACAGGUGUAAAAAUUAAGUCUGCCUCCUAACUUGUACUGUAAAUGAGAUUUUCGAUAGUCCUGCAGCCCAUGCCUAUGUUUUUUUUUCCUCAGAAAAAGAAAAGCUGCCUUCAUGACAUCCCUCUUGAUUUCCGAUUUCCAAAGUGUGUCAUUUGAAGCUUUAAAUUCAGAUUCUUCCUAUCUUCAAAAAAACCCUCUGGUUUGCUUUCCAGUAUUAGAUUGCAUGAUCAGGUCCCACAUCUGGGGCUUUUGUCCAACCUAUUUAUCAAUUAGUUUAGAGUGAGCUGUAGAUAACAUGAACCAAUUCUGGAACCACUAUUGGGAGGAACACAAGCUCUUCACUACAAUCACACAGUAGCAGGAAAAGUGAUAAUUCAAUUCAUUCCUGGGGCAGGGCCUCCAAAAUUAAACGAAGUUGGCACGACUGGAGCAUUGAAUUUGUAUCCUCCAUGCUUUUCAAUCAUUUUGGAUUCUAAAAGAUAAAAAUAAAAAGAAUAAGGAUAGAAGGAAAGUUAAUCACUGCCCACAAAGCAGAAAUCCAUCAGGCCCCAGCAGACAGACUUAAAGUUAUGCUUAAAUGACAAAUGAAGUUUACGUUUCCAACGAGCACACUUCAGCUUUUGGGAACGAGUAUGUAAGUCCACAUUCAGAAAGAAGACCUCAACAAAUGCUGGAUUGCUAAAAUUGCUGACAGAUGCCGACUUCUUUCUGAUUAAAAUACUUGCCCAUCAGAUCAGUAACAGAUCACGUAUCUCUUCAGUGUUUUUGUUUGUAAUAUCAGCUCAAUUUUCAUUUGUCCCUAUGUCAGCUCAACAGUAUAAGCAGACUUAGCUUAGUUUUGAGAGAAACCACCACAUUUAUCACGUUUAUUUUCAACCACGCCUUACCACCUUCAGGCAUUUGAGGUCCACAAAUCCAUCCCUCCAACUGCUUUUACUAGAUGCAUAUUACAUCCUUUAGAGGUCACAGCAAGAUUGCCUUUUACAAGUUCUAAUCUUUUUUUACAAGCUCUAAUGAAAGGAGAGCUCAAAAACAGGUUGGUAAAAAGCAGACAUAUGCAUUUCUAUCAACCAACACUACGAUCUAGGUAACAUAAAAGGGUUGCAUUAUCCCCAGCUCAAGGCAACAAAGGUUAUUAAAUGUCUAACUUCAAGUCUA
This 4975-nucleotide long non-coding RNA is filed under the name Gallus gallus (chicken). Lineage: Eukaryota; Metazoa; Chordata; Aves; Galliformes; Phasianidae. The record is from RNAcentral.